RNAcentral lists this long non-coding RNA (576 nucleotides) under Coturnix japonica (Japanese quail). RNAcentral's name for it is "lncRNA (ENSCJPG00005000269.1)". Lineage: Eukaryota; Metazoa; Chordata; Aves; Galliformes; Phasianidae. The record is from RNAcentral.
CCAUAUUGGGGUUAUAGGGUCCAUAUUGGGGUUAUAGGGUCCAUAUUGGGGUUAUAGGGUUUAUAGGGUCUUAUAGGGUCCAUAUUGGGAUUAUAGGGUUUAUAGGGUCGUAUUAUGGGAUGGAAUCCCACCAGUUCAGUCCACGUUUGAGUCCGUUGUUUUCCAGGGAUUAUGGGGUCAAUAUUGGGGUCAAUAUUGGUCUUAUAGGGUCCAUAUUGGGGUUAUAGGGUUUAUAGGGUUUAUAGGGUCGUAUAGGGUCAUAUUAUGGGAUGGAAUCCCAUCAAUUCAGUCCACAUUUGAGUCCAUUUUUUGUGUCCUUAUUCCGAUUUCCAUGACCCGAAAUAGGGAUUUUGGGGUCAAUAUUGGGGUCCAUAUUGGUCUUAUAGGGUCGAUAUGGGGUUAUAGGGUUAUAGGGUUUAUAGGGUCUUAUGGGGUCAUAUUAUGGGAUGGAAUCCCAUCCAUUCAGUCCACGUUUGAGUCCUUGUUGAUGACUUUAGGCCGAUUUCCAGGCAUUAUGGGGUCAAUACUGGGGUCCAUAUCGGGUUUAUAGGGUCCAUAUAGGGCUUAUAGGGUUUA